This 3269-nucleotide ribosomal RNA is filed under the name Neurospora crassa. Its description in RNAcentral is "LSU rRNA". It matches the Rfam family "Bacterial large subunit ribosomal RNA". Lineage: Eukaryota; Fungi; Ascomycota; Sordariomycetes; Sordariales; Sordariaceae. The record is from RNAcentral.
ACCUUGGUGACCUAGGCUAGUACCAGGUCCCCCUCUAAGGGACUUGUCCCCCUCUAAGGGACUUGCGUCGGUCCUAUCCUAGGCCGAAUAGGUGAAUAAAUACUUACGGACGGCCUUGGUCUGUCCUAGAGGUUAUCAACAUAUGAACUCUUAGAGAAAUUACUUAAUAAACGAAGUGAAUUGAAAUAUCUUAUUAACUUCAGGAAAAGAAAUCAAACGAGAUUCUAUGAUUAGUGUGAACGAAAAUAGAGCAGCCUAUUAAAAUAAGUAAAAUGGCUUUAAAGCUGUUUGAAUAUUGUGGGGAACCUUCCUCAAAGGCUAAAUAUAAUACAUGAGUUACAGAGAAAAGUACCGUGAGGGAAAGCUUUGAAAUAGUAGUUUUAUAAGCAGCUCAAGCAAUAAGAAAGCGAGAGCGUACCUUUUGCAUAAUGGGUCACCAAGUUAAUUUUAGAUGCGAGCGAAUUUAUUUAUGUUUUUACUGAUUAAACAAUAUAAUGAAUCAUAAUUAUUUUUGUAACGAGUAUUAGUAUUAAAUCUUAAUUUAAUAUUAGUAUAAGUUUUCAGUAUGGCGGCUACAUAGCAUAAUCUAUGCAGCCAGCCAAUAAUUGGAUUUCCAAUCCAAUUUCGGUAAUAAAUAGAUGUGCAUAGUUAAACCGAUCAUUAAAAUAAUGAAUAGUGUCUAAAGUUAGACCCGAAGCCUGGUGAUCUUACUAUAGUCAGGACUAUAAAGGUCCGAACGGGUUAUCGUUGCAAAGAUAUCCGAAGAACUAUGGUAAGCGAGUGAAAGACAACACUGACUAGGAUAGCUGGUUUUCUGCGAAACCUAUAAUAGUAGGCAAUUUAAGUAACAUCUUAGUAGGUACAGAACUUAAUCUCAGACAAGAUGUAGAUUUUCAUACCUAUGUUUAGGUAUGAAAUGCAUUUUUUUUUGUAUACAUCGGGGGAUCGUGAAGAUUUUAUCGGUGAGUAUGUAGACUCGGAAUGACAAAGAUGAAUCUUGAAUAAUCAGACAUAGAAUGAUAAGGUUGUAUGUCAAAAGGGAAACAGCCCAGAACAAGAGUUAAGGUUCCAAAAUUAUUAUUAAGUGAAAUAAAGAAAGUUUUUAUAUAAGUCGACAAGAAGAUGGGCUUGGAAGCAGCCAUAAUUUAAAGAUCUCGUAACAGAGCACUUGUUAAAUCUUAAAAGCAUCGAAAAUUUAACGGAUCUAAAUAAUAUACCGAAACCUUGUCCAUAUGUAACAUUAGUAAUAAUAUGCUAUUAAUGUUAUUUGAUGGGGUAGCAGAACGUUGAGUGAAUCUUAGAUUUUUUUUUUAUAACUAAAUAUAGAUGAUAACUCAAGUGAGAAUGGUGACAUGAGUAACAAAAAAGAGUUUAAGGUACCUAAAAGGUAUCUUAGAGUCUCGCCUAAAGCUUAUGGCUACGUCAAGUAACGGCCUCUAAGUUUAUAAUCUGAAGAUUAUGACGAUGAGAAAAUAACGCGCAGAAGUGCGCUGCUUUGAUACUUAUGGUACCAACAUUUAAAAGUGAAAAUUGUGCAGGAAGGAUCAGUAUCCUUUCAUUCUUAUGUGGGGGAGUGGACAAAACUGAACAGAGUGUAUCUGAACACAGAUGAGUCCACACCCCCCCCCAUGUAAUGAAUGAAUGACAAACCGUACCUAGAAUCUGAAACAAGUAAGCUAGUAGAGAAUACGAAGGCGUGAAUGAGAUAACAAUCAUAAAGGAACUCGGCAAACUAACUACCGUAACUUAGGGAUAAGGAGAGCUCAUUAGUCUCGAUUAAUACGAGUAAAAAGGAAGAAGCAUGGAAUAUUGUUGUACGACUGUUUAAUUAAAACAAAGCACUUUGCAAAAAGACGAUAAGUCUAAGUAUUGAGUGUGAUUUCUGCCCGAUGCCGGCUGGUUAACGAAUUUUCUAAAUUGAAAAAAAAUUUGGUUUCAGAGGAACCCCCGGUUAAUGGCGGCCUUAGCGUGAGGGUCCUAAGGUAGCGAAAUGCCUUGGCCGUUAAAUGCGGUCUUGCAUGAAUGAUGUAACGAUACAACAGCUGUCUCUAUGAUUGACUCAGUGAAAUUGGAAUAACUGUGCAGAUACAGUUUACCUCUAGUUAGACGAGAAGACCCUAUGCAGCUUUACUGUUACUAAUUAUUGAAUACGAUUCUGAAAAUUUCCAGUGUAAAAGGUAAUCGAUAAGAUAUAAUUGAAACACCUUUAUUUUUCUAUCGUAUUAUUAAACCUUAAAUUAAGGAACAAUUGUUAGAAGACAGUUUAUGCGGGGCACAGGCCCCAUAAAGAGUAAAUGGGUGUGUCUAAAAUUUAUAAAUUUAUGUUUGCAAUUUUUUAUAGUGAUUAUAUAUCAAAUCAUCUUUAUGCUAUUCAUAGAGUGUAUUUAUUAUAUUCCUUGGGUACAGUAUAAAAAUUAUAUAUGUAUUAAUUUACAUAUAUUUUUUCUAAGAAAUUAGGUAAGAUUUUGUUUAUAGAGAAAUUAGAUGUAAAAAAAAAAUCUUAUGAGGGCGGUAUUUAAUAAUCCGCUUCUAAUAUUUUUUUGUAGUUAUUAUUAUAAAUUUAAUAAUAAUCAUGUUUAUUACUUAAAAAGCUUAAUGGCUUAAUCUUGCCUUACUGUUUGAUUAACAACAAAUCUUACAGUCGCGUAAGCGGGGCAUAGGAUCACAAGAUACAAAAAGGAAAGAUCUUGGAUUUUUGGAAAAGCUACGCUAGGGAUAACAGGCUAAUUUGCGCAAGAGUGUACAAAAUGAGUGCGCGGUUUGGCACCUCGAUGUCGGCUUGACUAAUCCUCAUGGAUGCAGAAACUAUGUAGGGUACGACUGUUCGUCGAUUAAAAAGUUACAUGAGCUGGGUUAAAUACGUCGUGAGACAGUAUGGUUUCUAUCUUCUAGAGGGAAUUAGAAUAUAAUAAGGAUUAACCUUUGUACGAAAGGAACAUGGGGUACUAUUGUUAUACCUAGUUGUAUAACAGUUUUAUUAACCUCUGGUUUACCUGUUGUUUAUGUGCCUUAUAUUAAUUUCAUGUGUGAUGCUCCGCAAGGAUAUUACAGGGAUGUUACCGUCACUUGAGUAAAUACAAUAGCAUAAGCAUGGCAGGAAAGCUAAGUUAGUCAAAAAUAAGUGCUGAAAGCAUAUAGGCACGAAAUUUACCUUAAGAUAUUUCUUAAAUAUACGUAAGAAAAUAUUACGUUAAUAGGCUUAGUUUGUAAUAAUCUAGAGAUUUUAAGGAACUAAGUACUAAUUUUAUAAAAAACUGAAUGAUUAAUAU